Molecule: ribosomal RNA, 285 nt
Filed under: Escherichia coli
Lineage: Bacteria; Pseudomonadati; Pseudomonadota; Gammaproteobacteria; Enterobacterales; Enterobacteriaceae
Description: partial 16S ribosomal RNA
Rfam family: Bacterial small subunit ribosomal RNA
Source: RNAcentral
AAAUUGAAGAGUUUGAUCAUGGCUCAGAUUGAACGCUGGCGGCAGGCCUAACACAUGCAAGUCGAACGGUAACAGGAAGCAGCUUGCUGCUUUGCUGACGAGUGGCGGACGGGUGAGUAAUGUCUGGGAAACUGCCCGAUGGAGGGGGAUAACUACUGGAAACGGUAGCUAAUACCGCAUAACGUCGCAAGACCAAAGAGGGGGACCUUAGGGCCUCUUGCCAUCGGAUGUGCCCAGAUGGGAUUAGCUAGUAGGUGGGGUAAUGGCUCACCUAGGCGACGAUCC